This 163-nucleotide ribosomal RNA is filed under the name Lolium multiflorum (Italian ryegrass). RNAcentral's name for it is "5.8S ribosomal RNA". It matches the Rfam family "5.8S ribosomal RNA". From Rfam's summary of the family: 5.8S ribosomal RNA (5.8S rRNA) is a component of the large subunit of the eukaryotic ribosome. The record is from RNAcentral. Lineage: Eukaryota; Viridiplantae; Streptophyta; Magnoliopsida; Poales; Poaceae. RNAcentral also lists the same sequence under 3 other names.
AUCCACACGACUCUCGGCAACGGAUAUCUCGGCUCUCGCAUCGAUGAAGAACGUAGCGAAAUGCGAUACCUGGUGUGAAUUGCAGAAUCCCGCGAACCAUCGAGUCUUUGAACGCAAGUUGCGCCCGAGGCCUCUUGGCCGAGGGCACGCCUGCCUGGGCGUC